AUUAAACGCUGGCGGCAUGCCUUACACAUGCAAGUCGAACGGCAGCACGGGGCAACCUGGUGGCGAGUGGCGAACGGGUGAGUAAAGCAUCGGAACGUGCCCUGGAGUGGGGGAUAACGUAGCGAAAGUUACGCUAAUACCGCAUAUUCUGUGAGCAGGAAAGCAGGGGAUCGCAAGACCUUGCGCUCUGGGAGCGGCCGAUGUCGGAUUAGCUAGUUGGUGGGGUAAAGGCCUACCAAGGCGACGAUCCGUAGCGGGUCUGAGAGGAUGAUCCGCCACACUGGGACUGAGACACGGCCCAGACUCCUACGGGAGGCAGCAGUGGGGAAUUUUGGACAAUGGGCGGAAGCCUGAUCCAGCCAUGCCGCGUGAGUGAAGAAGGA
This 383-nucleotide ribosomal RNA is filed under the name uncultured bacterium. RNAcentral describes it as "bacterial SSU rRNA". It matches the Rfam family "Bacterial small subunit ribosomal RNA", at positions 29 to 415 of the family's 1533-position model. The record is from RNAcentral.